GGGUAGUUAGCUCAGUUGGGAGAGCAUUUCCUUUACACGGAAAAGGUCGUAGGUUCAAAUCCUACACUGCCCA
RNAcentral lists this transfer RNA (73 nucleotides) under Endomicrobium sp. Its description in RNAcentral is "tRNA-Val". It matches the Rfam family "tRNA". From Rfam's summary of the family: Transfer RNA (tRNA) molecules are approximately 80 nucleotides in length. Their secondary structure includes four short double-helical elements and three loops (D, anti-codon, and T loops). Further hydrogen bonds mediate the characteristic L-shaped molecular structure. tRNAs have two regions of fundamental functional importance: the anti-codon, which is responsible for specific mRNA codon recognition, and the 3' end, to which the tRNAs corresponding amino acid is attached (by aminoacyl-tRNA synthetases). tRNAs cope with the degeneracy of the genetic code in two manners: having more than one tRNA (with a specific anti-codon) for a particular amino acid; and 'wobble' base-pairing, i.e. permitting non-standard base-pairing at the 3rd anti-codon position. Lineage: Bacteria; Pseudomonadati; Elusimicrobiota; Endomicrobiia; Endomicrobiales; Endomicrobiaceae. The record is from RNAcentral.